This 401-nucleotide long non-coding RNA is filed under the name Physcomitrium patens. Its description in RNAcentral is "long non-coding RNA (PPAT_LNC004741)". Lineage: Eukaryota; Viridiplantae; Streptophyta; Bryopsida; Funariales; Funariaceae. The record is from RNAcentral.
CUUAAAAACCCAUACUAAACCUAAAAUUCUACUUUCUGAGACCUUGACCCACUUAAACCUCAAUAUCUCUCACUUCAACCGUUAGAUCGAGCUCAAAUACACAACAUGUAUUUAACACAACUAUAAUCAUGAACCCAAAGAAUUUCUUCCAUAGAUCUGCAACAGAACUUUCAAAAUCACUCAAAACAUAAACCCUAUUUUAUUUCAUAAAACCCAAGUCAUCCAAAACAAACCUCUACUAUGCAAAGCUCUUACAAAGUCAUAUCAACUCUAAAUCAUCCAAAAUCAAUGCCCAUAAAAACCUUAUCCAAUCUUCUAUCAAAUUCCACUCUCCGAUCUGCCAAAGAGUCCUAGAGUCGUCGUCGAGACUCGGUUUUGUGCCUCAGGGUUUGAUUUCGACC